This is a long non-coding RNA of Dromaius novaehollandiae (emu), 12470 nucleotides long. RefSeq lists it as uncharacterized. NCBI's taxonomy places the organism in Eukaryota, Metazoa, Chordata, Aves, Casuariiformes, Dromaiidae. The record is from RefSeq and is a predicted model, not a curated record. The transcript has 3 exons.
AGACAGGAAAUUAGGCUUACUCUUUUAAUUCAUUUACACUCAGAUGAAUUUGACCAUGGCUUUGUGUAAAAGAAUUAUCUUGAACAAGAAAGGAAGACGUUGCAAGGGGCUACAUAGUCUGACAAACUGUAUAAUAAAUGCAGAAGUGGUACAUGCUAUAGAAAAUGAUUCUUAGUUGAUACUUUUAAGUGUGAUUCGUUGAUUUGAAAAUACUUGUAUAGAUGAGACAAGCUGUCUUGUGUUAGGAUAUUUUGGUUACUUAGAGCUCCUCUGAACUGACACAGGUGAAGAAAUGUUACAAAACAAAGACAUUUAGUUUUUGACUCCCAAAAAUGUGUUUCUGUAAUAAGUUAUAUAUGUGCAAGACUGUGCUUGAUUAAUUUUGUUUCCUAUGGUCUAGUCCCAGACAUUUCUGGAAUCUGCUUUAGAUGUUCCACACUUUUAGAGGGAAAUACAAGCUUUGAAGAAGAAAAAAAAGCUGUUUUCUGCAGUAGAGUGCAGUGUGAACACCAUCGCUCUGUCAAAUAUACUGUCUCCCUAGUGUCUUGGCACACAUGGCCUUGCUGUCUCUGGAACUAGAAGCCCAGACUGGAGGAAAAGGCAUAUGGGCUUUGCAUUGGUCUUCUGGGGGCACACUUAUUUUUGGGUGUCCUGCCGUCCUGUUGCUGGAUUCCAGUAUUAUCAUUAAAAUAGCAAUUGCAGAAAUUGGUAGUGAAUAACAGGAGGAGGGAAUGCUUAUUAGUGGGUAUGAAAUCCAAAUAAGAGAAAGGGAUUGGAGACCUGGUGCCUGUCAGCAUGCAGUGUUGAAGCUAGAUUUGGGACUGAGUGAGCUUCAGGAGGGAUCCUGCAACAUUAAUGACACCCAUCUUGGUAGAUUGUUUUUAAAUGUUCUGUGCAAAGUGUCUGCUCUUUAACACCUUAGUGAUCUGAAUGAUUUCUCAGAGAUUUAAACAUGACUGUUUUGGAGACUUAAGAAGUCAGACGUUGCUUUCUCCCUGUCACUGCCAGAAGUUCUGUUAACAGGUCAGAUGCAUUUUAAGUACUCAGCACUUCAUAAAAGUUGUUGUUAUUUUUCAUUACCAGUCCAUUAACCAUUACUGGCAGUAAACAAAGCUGAUCUUGAGGAAAAUGUUUGGCUUCUUUCUUGUCCCUGGCCAUAGCUUCUCUUUGAACCAUGCCACUAGCAAGCACUUACAGCCCUGUCCUCUGCCCAGCUCUGCCCCCUCAUCCACAGACAGGACAAAUGAGCAGGGCCCCUUGUUUGCACCUCUCCUGCUGAGGACCCUGCUGGGGGGCCCACCCAGACCCCCACUGUCUGUCCUGCUUCUGCUCAGCUCCUAAAGCAGCAUUUUAUCACCAGAAUUUUAAUACUGCAAAUCCCAAGAUUUGGGGGGGGAGAAGCAAAUGCAAAACAAGCCAAGCAAUAAAGAGACAAGAGCUCUUCUCUGGGUAAAACAAAAACCUGAUUCAAAUGAUUCGGCAGGGCAACAGCAACAUCUGCCAGCCGCCUGUCCUGAGCUGACAGUGGCUGUGAAGGGUGGUGCCUGCUCACGGCUUCCCCCCUCUCAGCACCCACAGCUGUCUUUCAGGUGAAGCAGGGGCUUUUUACACUUCUGAGGCGCUCUCUUUAAAAAAUGGCCCAGCUGGAUACCUGCGGGUUUGCGCUGCUUCUCAGGUUUCUCCUCCAAGCGUACAAGGGAUCUAGCCAGGAGAGCAAACCCCUACCAGCACCACCUUCCCUACCCAAAUAAACCAGGAACCUCCUGGCAAACGUGGUGCCCGUUUUUCAUCGCUAACAUUGUCUGUCCUUUGCAAGGAAGCCUGCGACAAAGACCUCCUGAGUGAACUCCUGGACGUGGUUGUUUGGGUCGGGUAUGUUUGCUCUGGGGUUAAUCCCCUCGUAUACACACUCUUCAAUAAAACCUAUCGCAGGGCUUUUUCCAAUUAUAUCUGCUGCCAAUACAAGACCAGUAAAAAAUCAGCGCUGCGACAGAAUCAGUGUCUGAAUGUUGCUUUGACAGCAUUAUACGGGAAAGAUCUGACUUUAACUAGUUACCGAAAUGGCAAUGAACUCAACAGCAUGGAACUAGAUGAAGCUGAGGAGGGUCUAGAAAUGCAGCCAGGGACUUCAGAGCUCUCCAUAAACAGCUGUAAUGUUGUAAGCGAAAGAGUGAGCUGUGUGUAAAGGCAGCUCACACAGCCUUCUGCUACGGUGUAUCUGUAGCCAAAAUAUAUUGUGUAAAAAUGCGUUGGUCAAAGGACAAUGUAAAUAUUGCAUUCUGAACAAAGCUUUUUUUCUUUUUCAAAGAAAAAAGUUGUCUUUCCAGUCCAGUACUUAAAAUCAAAUAUAUUAAUAUACUGCAGUGAAGUUUAAGGUUCUAUAUUUACUGUUAAUACUAGAUCAGAAAUAUUAGUUACUUUGCAUAUGUCAUGGACAAACUGUUUGAAUUUUUCUUCCAGUACAUGAACAAAAAUACUGAAUAUUAUCUCAGGUGGCAUUUGCUGGAGUCCAGAAUGGCGCGUUAAUAGUUAUAUAUCAAAUACAUGCUAUUAGACUUGGUCAGUAUAACUUUCUUUUUCCAGUUGACAGUAAAUAUAUACUUUAAAUCCUCACCCACGUUUGUGCCGUGUAAAGACUGUACAGAAUCCUGGCAGAGAGGCGUCAUGAGAGCGUGGCAGCAUUGCAGUCACUUGGGCAGAUGUGGCGUGUUACAGGUCAGGUCACGGCUUGCUGGCAUCUUGGGACAAGCUCACGCCUCAAGGGACCUCUCUUAUGUUUUGGCUCCCUCUCCAAACCUGCUAAAAUUGGAUCUUUAAAUGCUGCAGGAGUCAGGUUUUCUUGGACUUGAAAAGCAAUCUGAAUCUGUGUGUGUUCAGGGAAGGCUGAAAGGGGAUAGUCAAAACUGGCUGCUCUUCCAACUUGAUUCUAAGUGAACUUCAGAGCAUAGGUGAAUGCUAAACUGCUCUGCUGUUUACUGGGAAUCUCAAGCAUUAGGAAUUUAUUUUUUUCCUCUCACUGUCUGAUGUCCCUACAUGUAUCUACGUGUGCACAUAUAGAGAGAACGUAUCUAGUUUGUUUGAGAACUGCAUAUAGGCAUACUGGUUUUGCUUUGUUUUGUGAAUGUGUGGACAAACUGGAAAGCUAGAGGGAACUGUUGGCUGGUUCUGAGGAUGUAAGAUACUACUAUUGUGAUUCCAAGUUCUUUCUGCCAUUGGUUAGGACUACUGCUUUCCUGCUGUUUUGCAAAUUGUAUUGGCCUGCUGCCAGGAUGCUAAAGAGACUUUUCAGUUAACACAAUUAGAAUUUGUAAUUCUUUUCUAUAUGUGCUUUAGUGACAGUACUUCGGGUUUCUGUGUGGAAAGUAGAUCAGAAUACAAUGAUAAGUAAAUGGAGCAUAUAUAAUUAGUUAAGCCAAGUGCUAUGUACAAAAAAAACAGGCCAUUCAGAAAAGGACUGUAGUACUUGUUUAAUUUUAAGCCUGUGGGUAAAUUAGACUGCGGUAAGUGAUAAGCAUAUACUUAGAGCUACACACACAAAUUUGUGCUUGCAACUGCUCUAACUCCUUUGAUUUUGGUAGGAUUCAUGCUUAACCUCAAGCAUGUCAGUAAUACCCUCCUGAAUGAGGGCCAUCAUUAUAUUAUCAUGACUAUCAGAACAGUUCACUCCUUUUCCAUUUACUUCCUCUGGUUUUACAUCUAGAUGUCUGAAUAUCAUUUCUGUCUUUUUAGUCCUACUAGGCAUUGCCUAGGUGAAUUUGUGUCCAAGUUUUUCACUUCUUCAGCAGGUUUUGUCUUUGUCGAAAUAACUACUAAGUGGUCUGAGAAAAAGUUGGGAUCAGUGGUUUUUCUGAACUGUCCUCUAAGAGUAUUAUCUUUUAGGGGUUUUUUUUCCUAACACCAUCUUGAUGAUUUUAUGAACAUCAUAGCAGUUUUAACAUGAACACUUAAUUCUGAAUGGAGUUGCUAAACUUUAGAAACUGCCUUUGGUAUGUUACUGUUUUUGGUUGUGCUACCUAUCCAUCGGAAACAUUUUAGAAUGGUUUUAACAUGGGCAGUGUUCUUCUCUUUCUUGUUUCUGUUGUGUCAUGUUCAAAUGCUCUAGAUGAUGCUUCUGUUUUUCAUCACCUGGGUUGAGAAAGGUCUUUGGGAUGAUCCCUGUCGUAUAUUAAAAAUAUUUUUAACUGGAAGUUUCAGUAUUUCAGAAAAUCUGUAAUUAAUGUUUAAAUUGAAAGGCUACAAAUGAUUCCACAGUCCGUAUAACACUUCUGAUGGUGUCUUUGGUGAUUUUUGUCAGUAGAGGCCAGAGAAAAUGCUGGGUCAUGGAAUUCAGCUUGCUUUGAUACGGCAUUUGGGCACUUUUGCCUUUUAUUUUUUGGCUUGUUUGGACCUUUCCCUGUUGUCAAGUGAAGAAUGCUAGUCAUGAAACUACAAAAGCUUUAUUUAAAAAAAAAAAAAAAGGAAAAAAAACCUUUUUGGUGCACCCAACUGUUUUCUGUAAGCCUAAGUAAAUUUCUGCAGUACAGGACGUAGUCUGAAGAAAGUUGCCGCAGGCUGCUGGACUGAUUCAAAAGACUGAACAAUUUGUAAGCCAAGUACAGACCCAGAUGACAGGCUGGUAUUGUUCUGUUCCAUCACUCUGUGCUUUGAGGCCUGACUGUUAGGACAAAAGAACAUUAAUCCUCGGCUCUGAUGCCAACCCAGGAAAUUCUUACAAGACUUUCAGAGUAGCUGUUCCAUAGGAUGGACCCAGGCAGCACUUAAUGAGCCCCCCGUAAUAUGAAUUUAAUGUCAGGCAACAGCAGGCUCUCUCCUCCAAGCUAACCUUUGAUCUCCUUGAUUAAGAAUCUAACCCACAACUGGGUGUGUUUUCACAAGCGUGGGAAUGCUCUAGGUACAUUAUUCAAUUCACAUGGGCUUGUGCUCUAGAUCAUUUGGGUGCUUUGAGAAAAACAUCUGCCUAACAGAAAGCUUAAGAACUGAAGUACGGGUGCUGUCGGUGCCAGUGCCAUCAUCUGUGACGCAUGAAAGGUCCAGGACAAAGAGAAGAAAACCACCUCAAUGCUGUCAGCAGGUGGACUUACACCUCAUCAGAGCCCUGCAACAUGAGAACAGCCACAUGAGUGGGAGCUACUGACAUACCUGAAAAAAUUCUUUGCUUUUCUUUAGGGCAGUGUCAUAGUUCUGCUGAUGCUGCAAAAGCAAGGGAAGUUUUUGUCUUGGGAAGGAGAGAGAGCUGCCUAGAAGAGUUCACUGGGCUGCCACCCGUAGGAAAAACCCAACCAGCCCUCACUCAGUAACUUAAAGGGCUGCUGUCCUCCCUCUGGGGAAAAGCUUGGGGGUGCGUGGACAGGUUGGCCAAGACUGCAUUCCUCCACAUGGAAAUGAUGGAGUGACAUGGAGUUCCAGAUUAAAUAUCAGAGCUUCUUUUAGACCAGGCCACUCUUCAACUUCAGGCACUUUGAUAUUCAGUGGGUGAUUUUUAUUGUCAUUGCUUUUGCUUGUGUCUCUGUGGAUUCUUUCCACAGGACCAGACUGGUAGUACAGCAAGGUCCAUAUAUUUAGCAAUGAAACUUUACCUACAAUUGCUUUACUCUUAGAAAGAACUUGAAUUGCUGAACUAAUUGAUAAAACACUCUGUUCUGCCUACAGUUCCCUUGUCUGUGCUCAGCACACUUCUGAAUACUGUGCUGGAGCCAAGCCUGUAAAUCAACCAGCUCUUUGUGCCUGCUUGACUUGUCUUGUUUCUGGGUUCAGUCAAGCAUAUUUGCCUAGAGAAGUAUUUCCUUCAGAACAGGACUUCAGCCCCAUUCCUGCCUUCUGUGGCACUGCUCAAGAGGAAUGACAAAGCCUCCUUCUGGAAGGAAGGAGCUCUUCGUUGGUUCUGGGCAAGUCUGGCUGUGGAGUGCCUUGCCCCUGCUCCAUAAUGGACCCACUGACCCCAGGGAGGGUCACACUUGGACAAGGUGUUCAGAAAAAGGCACUGGUAGGCACAGGCCUCUCUGCAGCCUGCCAUGGGCACCGCCUCAACCCUUGGCACGUGUAUUCGUGCACAAGGAGGAGGAGUUCCUGCAAUUGCCCCUGUGGCUCCUCGCUCUUGUUUUAUUUGGAAACAGUGGAAACAGCAGCCUCAAACAUUCCUUUUUUUUUUUUUUAAUCACCUUUGGAUUUUGGUAUUUUUUGUACAAGAGACUCCAGAAAAAAGGAUUAUGUGCUAAGUGGCGACAACCACGUAGUAUCGCAACACUGUCAGAGCUAAGUUAAUUCAGUGCAGAGCUCACGUUCCCUGCUCGGCUUACUGUCCAGACCUUUUCCACCAGUAUGGUCCAAGUCUUUCUGUGUCAUGAAGUACAGAAAGAACAAAACCAAAAAGCUAGUGCAUUAGAAAUCUGACUUGCUGGUGAGAUCUGAACCUUUUAAAGCAGCUGAGGAGACAGGAUUCAUGAGGCCUCUUGUAAGACAACAGAUCUUUGUCUCAAGAAAUUAAACUACAGCGGAUGGGUUUACACACUGGUAAAAUUUGUGUUCCGAAAAAUUGUAACUGCUCUAAAGUAUUAUUGUGUUAUUAUGAAAUAUUGAGAGCUGAAGCAUGGGAGUCAUUGCAGCGUGUGCCAAAUGGCAGAGAAAUGGGAACUCUAUGUUAUAAGCCAUGAAUCCCUUUGCUGUGAAACAUUUCCACCCUCUGCAAGAAAAUGCUUCAGUUUUCCUGUGCAACUGUCUUUGUACCUGAGGAGACGUCCCUAUGCUUGUAACAGCAGUGACCUCAGAGCCCUUCUGGGAGACCACUGAAGUAAGUGAAGACUUUGUGCGAUUCUUACCGUUAACUGAUUAGGUUGGUUAGUUCCUAAAGGGAAAAAUAAAUAAAGCUUCAAUAUGUAAAUAUUCUGCCCAGGAAAAUGCAUUGAUCACAGGGUUAAGUAAGAGUUCCUGCAAGUGCAGGACUAAUGCAUCGCUUGAAAGAAAGUUCAAGAUAUAGAAGGUAAAUGUGAUAAUUGUUUAGUGUCGCCUUAUACGAUUAGCAUUGCCACUCGCUUGUAUUUUUGGAUACAUUAUUUGCUGUGCUAGCACCUAGUGUGGAACAGUAGUGAGGCUUUUAGGAGAUAGUAAAAAAAAAAGAAAAAAAAACUAAAAACCCUAAAAAAGACAGGCUGUAAUGGGUUCAGCCAACAUCCCAGUGGAGGAUUGUUCUGGAAAGACAGCGUGUUCCCAUCUGCACAGCUAGACGACAACAGCAAAGCUUUUUGUGAGCACUCGUGCAAGGCUAUGAACAGACUGUUUGUGCUGUUCCUCUCUCAUAUAUGUGGGUCUUAUACAUAACUAAGAGGUAACUCUAACUGUACGUAAACCUGCUUUUAAAAGAAGCCCAAGAGACUUCUCUAACUUCCAUAUGCACCUAGCAGCCCUUCUGAAGAAGGGACCUGGAUCAUUUCCCGAGUGAGUUCCUUUUUGUCUAAUACAGUAAAUACUGACAAAGGCCCUUUAGAAGCAGGAUGAGUCUGAGAUAAGUCUAUAGUGCAGGGUGCAGAUUCUGUAGCAUGCUUUCAAGGACUUACUGUGGGUAGAUCUAGCCACAGCAGUGAAGCGCUGCACUGAAACUCAUAAGGUCCUGCAGCUACUAAAUUGCUUCCAGUCCUUAAGCAGGCUUGCAUUUCUUUGAAAUAGUCUGCAGUUCCUCGGACACACCCUCCUAACCUCUGGCCCAUGGGGAGCUCCAUUAUUUUUAAUAGCCCUCAUUUAUUACCUGUAGCUUUUUUUCCUAAUUAAUAGAUAUCCAGUAACACAGUUCAGAUUUUGAAAGGAUGAGGGAUUCUUGUAUUGGCCUUGCCUGAUUUAAGUGCUGUACUUCACACUGUAGAGCAUGUUGCCAAAAAGACUUAUUUGAAUGGUGGUGACCCCUCUGUGUUGUUUUCCAGUUUGGUUUGAAUAUCUGUACUACACUGUUCACUGGGCCAAUACUGUCUGUAUGAGGCGUACAGUGAUGCUAGGGACAGGGCAGUAGAUUAAAGGGAUUUGCUGCACUGUUGGUACUCUAUUAGCACUAUUUCACUUCCUGUUAGUGCAGCGAGGAGUUUUCUCAUCACUCCCUUGCAGACCUGUGAACUCUUUCCCAUGAAGGUGGACGCUGGCGGGAGCUCACAGGAUGCACCAACAGCUGUGGACACACCGUGGCUAUCAUCACCUUCCAUCCCCAGGAACUAAGGCAGGUGAAUAUGUGGAGAAGAGUGGCCCUGGCAGGAAGUACAGCAGCAUUUGGUCCUGCUGUAUGUCAGUGCUCGCUCAGGUGGUGACUUUCUGGGGAAAGGCAGCGUUUAGACCUCCGCCUGUUCCUCUCCCUUUGUCGGGGGAGCCCAGCUGCCACUGCACCAUUCUGGGUAAGUCAGCAGAGGGCAGCGCUUUAACAGCAAGGACUUCUUAGCCCUGAAUUAAGGACCAGUUUGCUGUUAUGCAGCUGAAGUAUGCUCCCUUCACCUGCACAGAGAAGCCAGUGAUGGCUUCCUAUUCAGAGUCCCGUGGACAAACCUAGUGUUAAGUGAUACGAGUCAGUAGACAGGGCAUGUGGCAUGCAGGGGAUAAUGGCAGUAGGUGUCUAAGAUCUGUUAAACCUCAACUGGAGAUAGUGUCCAAACUCUGGUGUUUCUGCUAUAUCUAGCCCUGCAUAGGGCUCAUAACAGUGUCAGUGCUAUACUGGACUUUUCAUGGAAGCACCAGACCUGCUGGCUGAGCUGUGUGUAUUGCUAAGAAGAGAGGUCUAAUCCGAUUACCCAAAUACAGAGUUUUUCCUUUCUUGCUCUUGACAGGAGGCAGCGGCUACAGAGAAGGCAUUGCUUAAGGAAUUCUUCACGUGUGGACCUGGAGCAGUCUCUGGCUUGGCUCUAUUAUAGAGAGGCUAUGCUGUCCACCAGAUCUGGAGAAGAAGCUGGCCAGAAAGCUGUUUCCACCCAUGUUCACUACGUUUCAACAUAUUUCCUCACUGUUCGUUGUGAGCUGGUGCUGCUGCUCACCCACUGAUCAGCCAGGCAGGUGUUCCUGCGUGGUACAGCGUCCAUCAGCUCAGUUGCUUCACUUGAAGCCAUGCCCAGCUCCUCCUUGGUUUGGAGGUCACUGAACUUGUUCAUCAACAGCAAGGUUUCAGAAGGAGCAAGAGCCUUUCUCUUCCUAAGAGAAGUGACCACUUUCCAGCCUUUAUCUUCUACAGGGUUAUGACUCACUGUUCCACACAGCACAGAGCCCCCUUGCAUCUCCACUGCUAUGGGGGGGUUGAGACUCUUGAAGCUGUAGGAUCUCCAAGAAUAUCCUAUCUAUCUGUCGCUCAUCUUCUUGGAUGCUACACAGCCUGCUUAAUUCCUGCUCUAACUCCUUCACCUGACAACACAACUCAUCAAGAGCACAUCUUCUGCAGAAAAGUUGACUGUCAGCCCCAACCACUCCCUGCAGCCUGCAGAGUUGCAUCCGCUGUCAGGAGGCCUGUCUGGGUGAAAGCCUCCGACACGGCAGAUACAGCAGCUCCAAUGGCUGCUGGAGAAUACGCUCAGUGGUGUGUCAUAACCGUAUCUGAGGAAGCGUAUGCUACUGUGACUGGGGACAAAGGCACCUUAUUGCACCCUUCUGCACAAACCGCAGCCUCGGUCCACUGCACUCUGGGAGCUGCAUUCUAGGCUUGGCUCUUACAUAGACCUCUCCCUAGCACUGACUGACUGGGUGCUGGACCCACUCUAAUCAAGGGUCACCUGGAACAAAGGCCCCAACUCCCUAUGAUCAGGGGCAGCCAACAGAGCUCAUUAGCAGCAGCUGCACCUAGCUAGAGCUUUCUCAGGAGGAGUUAAGGCCUCCUGUAGCUGUCCUUGCCUAGCUCUACUGACUUGUCUGCAGCAAGCAUCUUCUAACUCCUUGGAGGGUCCCAGAAGGCCCCCACAACUUCCAGCAAAGUUCUCAGAAGGUUCUGAGCAGAGCCCAGACACUGCUGCACAAACUGCUGCCUCUGCUUGCUGCUUCUUUCUUUAGACUGAAAUGAAGAGAUUUCAGAGCCUCUCUUCUUCCACAGCCCCUUCUCAUGUUUUUCUUUGCUGAUGUGCUUGCCGGUAACAAAGUAUGAACUGUCCCCUGGAACGUCAGCAUCGAGAGACCGUUUCCUUAUCAGGUUGCUCUGCAGUAGCUAAUUCAGAAACCUGGUUUAUUUUGUCCUGCCAUUUACAUUGUUUGGCAAGCUGCAGAGUUCAAAUCUACCUGAGGUGCUUUUCCUAUCGCUGUUUUUUCCAUCAGCUCUUCCGAAGAUAAAGUUGCUACAGGCUGGAAAUAGGUUUGGAUCAGCCAAGAAUUCCCUUUUGUUUUUGAACUCCUUGUUGUUUCAGGGGAUCUAUUUCAUUUUUUCGAGUUCUGAUAUUUAUGUUGUAUUGAAGAUUCCUUUUGGAUUGGGUGGGUCACCCAAGCCUGAAAAGCAGUUGAGCACACUUCUCCGGUCAGGCUGCUGAAUUUGACUCUUUUCUCAGAAAGAGGAAUUCCCUGUCUGAAUUGGGUGAGUAAAGGGUGACAGAAAACAUGAAGAGCUGCUUGUCCUAAAGACAGUCUCAGCCUAUAGCAAAGAUGCUUGCUUUGUUCAGAGAAUCUGUUGUUCUUUGUGGUUCAUGUGCUCCCAAUAAAUGGACAUGUCUGGGAAAAGGGUAGCCAAUCCAUCAGCUGUAAUCCGUCUGCUGGAGGGCCCGGUGCUCAGUGCUCUUGAUUGAAUCUGUUAAGGGCAAGUGACAGGCUCUGGCUGCUUAUGUGGGAAGAUGGAGCUGUCUGGGCAUUUUUAGGAACUGGCCAGAAAAAAUUAUUUUACAAAAAUGUGUACUGAAAUAAUGAAAAUGGAAGCCAUUUUGACAACACUUAUGCUUUGUAAAAGCCUGUGUUUUUCAUCUUCCCCUACAGUCAGAAUGACUAGAGACCUCAAGUCAGAAAAUAUAGAGGUGAAAAUGUUAGCACAUUUGAGGCCAUGAGUUCCCCAUGGUAGGCUGAGGAGAGUUCAGUUCUCUGAGGCAUUGCAGUGCCUCAGCACCUCCAGAAUCCCCUGCAUUUUUCUGUGUGCAAUUCUUAAACUGAUAAGCCAUCCUUUGCUUUCCCCGUGCUCAAGGAGAUGAAAAACACAACUCUUUCAACCUUGGGCUUGUCUUGUCACAGUGGUGUUGUGACUAUUGUUCUCUUGCCUUAAUAUUCAUUGCACUUGAGACUCUUAUUCUGAUGUUUAAUCUUCCUGAGAGGGAGUCACUGCUUUCUACAUGUUGUUUUCAUGUGAUAUGUCCUUCCCAUUGCGUCUGUUUUCCUUUUGUUUUCAUGCUCAGCUCCAGAAAACGGCCUCACUGUUCUCUGGUCUUCCAUGGGUCCUUGAGUGGGAUGCUCGUGUGCAGCUGAUUGCAUGCAGCCCCUUGCUGGCACCACAUCAAGCUCACAACCCUAUCAGGAACUUCUUGCUUCUGGCUGGAUAAACAAGGGGUGGGUGUGCUAAGCAUGAUUUUAUUUCCUGUCAAGUGACCCAUCACAGCAUUCUUCUCCUCAGCCCCUUGCAAACCUUCUGGUUCUCAGAGCUGCUUCUGAACUAGCAAACUGAAGGCAGCGCUGGCCCCGAUCAUCUGUGUUCUGCUAGCUAGUGUUCACCCGCACAGUGUCCAGCCUUGUCGGAGGAACUGUAGGGGCCAAGGACUGUUCCCAGCAGGCAGGAUGAGCAAGGCUACCCUGUUCUGGGAAGAGUAGCCGUAUGGGCACAAGCCAUGCUGUGUUACCUGCCCUCUCUAGGUAUGGACAUAGCCCAGGACAUCAUAGUGUGGUGGCUAGAGCUAUAUGGUGUGACAAUUUGAAGUGGCUAGUAAAACCUCUGCAAGUAUGUGCAUGAGCCUAGGAAUAAGGAAGUGAACCUCAGCGCUCUGCUGCUGGAAUUACGUGUGUCACAAAGUUUUUUGCUUCUUAAUUUGAACUGAUUUGGAAAAGCCUUAAGAAAGGAUGUUUCUGAGAAUGUUAAUUCUCCAGUUAAUGAGCUACCCCUAUUCCUGUCCCUCCUAUACUAGACAUUUGAGAAUUAGUAGAUGAGAUUAAAAUUUCAGACUUGUUUUGCCUCUAGUAUAGGAAAUCAGAGUUUUGUUUAAUAUGAAAUGGUGUCUAGUGCCCCUUCAGUGAACUGCUAAAAAGCAGAACAACAACUGGCUUGUAUGCUUUAGAAGUCGUAAAUACCAUUUUACAUGGUUUGGAUCAUAAUAGCUGUAUUCAUUACCCCCUACAGAUUGGCUCUAAUAAUCUAAACAACUUCUCUAUAUGUUGCGUGACUGACAGCAUGCCUAUAAUUCCAGUGAAGCCCUUGGAAAUUGUAUUUAAUCAGCAAUAUGGCAUAAUGUGUGUAAAUUCCUUAUGACUAUGGGCAACUCUAUCCAAUUCAGUGUUGAUACUGCUCAUGUAGUUAAUGGAUAUGCUGCUUAUUUAAUGUUUACUUGCAUUGUAUUUUACUGUGG